GAACGGGGGUACAAUACCCUAGUGGCAGACGGGUGAGUAACACGUGAUCAACCUACCGUCGAGUGGGGGAUAACCAGCCGAAAGGUUGGCUAAUACCGCAUGACACGUUGCCGGGCAUCCGGCAAUGUUGAAAGGAGCAAUUCGCUCGAUGACGGGAUCGCGUCCCAUUAGCUAGUUGGUGAGGUAAUGGCCCACCAAGGCUCCGAUGGGUAGCUGGUUUGAGAGAGCGACCAGCCACACUGGGACUGAGACACGGCCCAGACUCCUACGGGAGGCAGCAGUGGGGAAUAUUGGACAAUGGGCGCAAGCCUGAUCCAGCCAUGCCGCGUGGGUGAUGAAGGCCCUAGGGUUGUAAAGCCCUUUCGGCGGGGAAGAUAAUGACGGUACCCGCAGAAGAAGCCCCGGCUAACUUCGUGCCAGCAGCCGCGGUAAU
RNAcentral lists this ribosomal RNA (433 nucleotides) under uncultured bacterium. RNAcentral describes it as "bacterial SSU rRNA". It matches the Rfam family "Bacterial small subunit ribosomal RNA", at positions 64 to 524 of the family's 1533-position model. The record is from RNAcentral.